AUUUUGUGACCUCUGCCUGCAUGAUUUGGAGCAGGAAGGGAUUAUAGAAAAGCAAGCUAAGGAAAAAUGGCUGGUUAUCCUUUAACUACCUAUACAUUUAGCAGAAUUCAGGCCCGUCCCAUAAUCCUAAUCUCAUACCUUUCAUUAGUUUUACAAAGAUCUAUCACAUGGGACCUUGCUCCAAAGUUCCUAUCCCCAAUUCCUGAAAAUGAGCUCCACAACCCAAUCUGAGUGUUUUUCGCCUAUCCUUCGAAAGAGACUCCUUCUUAUCAGCAUUUGGUCAUAUUCGAGCCCCA
Long non-coding RNA from Gorilla gorilla gorilla (western lowland gorilla), 296 nucleotides. RefSeq lists it as uncharacterized. The record is from RefSeq and is a predicted model, not a curated record. NCBI's taxonomy places the organism in Eukaryota, Metazoa, Chordata, Mammalia, Primates, Hominidae. The transcript has 3 exons.